Molecule: ribosomal RNA, 497 nt
Filed under: uncultured bacterium
Lineage: Bacteria
Description: partial 16S ribosomal RNA
Rfam family: Bacterial small subunit ribosomal RNA
Source: RNAcentral
GAUGAACGCUGGCGGCGUGCCUAAUACAUGCAAGUCGAGCGAACGGACGAGAAGCUUGCUUCUCUGAUGUUAGCGGCGGACGGGUGAGUAACACGUGGAUAACCUACCUAUAAGACUGGGAUAACUUCGGGAAACCGGAGCUAAUACCGGAUAAUAUUUUGAACCGCAUGGUUCAAAAGUGAAAGACGGUCUUGCUGUCACUUAUAGAUGGAUCCGCGCUGCAUUAGCUAGUUGGUAAGGUAACGGCUUACCAAGGCAACGAUGCAUAGCCGACCUGAGAGGGUGAUCGGCCACACGGGAACUGAGACACGGUCCAGACUCCUACGGGAGGCAGCAGUAGGGAAUCUUCCGCAAUGGGCGAAAGCCUUACGGAGCAACGCCGCGUGAGUGAUGAAGGUCUUCGGAUCGUAAAACUCUGUUAUUAGGGAAGAACAUAUGUGUAAGUAACUGUGCACAUCUUGACGGUACCUAAUCAGAAAGCCACGGCUAACUACGUG